Molecule: long non-coding RNA, 841 nt
Organism: Polistes canadensis
Lineage: Eukaryota; Metazoa; Arthropoda; Insecta; Hymenoptera; Vespidae
Exons: 3
Source: RefSeq, a predicted model, not a curated record
GUCAAUGCUAAUCUUGUCAAAUUAUCGUGAGCUGAAGUUUUGUCACGAAAACGAUCAUCGUCCAACAGAAUCCUUGCUUUUUCUGGAUUACUUUCGAGCUCCUGCAGGAUCGAUACUACUUCGUUUAUGGCCGUGGAUUGUACCUACAAAAAAAUUGAAAUAUUAUCAAACAUGGGGAAAUGAUAAAAUACCUGAACGAAAUCGGUACUGCAAACACCACUUGAUGCAGUAUUACCAAGUUCAUCGCAAAGAUAAACAGGAGGAUUCGUUUGUGUGUCACUUUGAGUUUCAGAACUCCAGUCGUUGCUUUGAAUACCUGAAGUAUCUUCGACAGAUGAUCGACGAGUUGUUGCUGUUACCGUUACUGGUUGCUUCUUUAAAUCAUCCCAGGUUUUCAAAGCAUCGGAUCGAAAGGAAACCUUUUAUAAAUAAUAAAGAAAAAAAGAAAAAGAAGAAGAACAACAACAAGAGGGAUAAGUACCAGUUUGUUUCGAAUCGAUGAGAUAAUUAAGUCGUUUUUUCGAUAGCCUAGUCUUACGUGGAUUUUCAUUUUCAGAACUCAUACGAGAUAUAGAAAGAAAACGUGGGGACGGUAUUAAAAUCCUGUAUUCCUCGCAUCUGAUCAAUCUUUCUGGAGUAUAACAAAUCCCUCGCGUUCGUUGAAGUAUCGGUUCACCACCUGCCAAUUCAUCGUGCAAAUUAUGAUCCUUUCUAUGGGUUAUUUUCGUCGUCGUUGUUGUUCUUGUUCUUGUAUCCUAUGAAAAGAAGAAAGAAUUUUAGAGUAAAUGUUUGUUUGGAUAAUCACAUUUAUAAAAAUAAUCAAAUUAAAAGAUAUUAUUCA